RNAcentral lists this transfer RNA (75 nucleotides) under Candidatus Uhrbacteria bacterium RIFOXYB12_FULL_58_10. Its description in RNAcentral is "tRNA-Thr". It matches the Rfam family "tRNA". From Rfam's summary of the family: Transfer RNA (tRNA) molecules are approximately 80 nucleotides in length. Their secondary structure includes four short double-helical elements and three loops (D, anti-codon, and T loops). Further hydrogen bonds mediate the characteristic L-shaped molecular structure. tRNAs have two regions of fundamental functional importance: the anti-codon, which is responsible for specific mRNA codon recognition, and the 3' end, to which the tRNAs corresponding amino acid is attached (by aminoacyl-tRNA synthetases). tRNAs cope with the degeneracy of the genetic code in two manners: having more than one tRNA (with a specific anti-codon) for a particular amino acid; and 'wobble' base-pairing, i.e. permitting non-standard base-pairing at the 3rd anti-codon position. RNAcentral also lists the same sequence under 4 other names. Lineage: Bacteria; Candidatus Uhriibacteriota. The record is from RNAcentral.
GCCGAUGUAGCUCAGUGGUAGAGCAAUGCUUUCGUAAAGCAGAGGUCGUCGGUUCAAUCCCGACCAUCGGCUCCA